UACAGAGGUCUCAACCGUUGUUCGGAUUCAUUGGGCGUAAAGGGUGCGUAGGCGGUCGCGCAAGUCGGAUGUGAAAUCUCAGGGCUCAACCCUGAAACUGCAUUCGAUACUGCGUGGCUCGAGUGCUGGAGAGGAGACUGGAAUUCCCGGUGUAGCGGUGAAAUGCGUAGAGAUCGGGAGGAACAUCAGUGGCGAAGGCGGCCAUCUGGGACAACACUGACGCUGAAGCACGAAAGCGUGGGGAGCGAACAGG
RNAcentral lists this ribosomal RNA (253 nucleotides) under uncultured bacterium. RNAcentral describes it as "partial 16S ribosomal RNA". It matches the Rfam family "Bacterial small subunit ribosomal RNA", at positions 524 to 776 of the family's 1533-position model. The record is from RNAcentral.